RNAcentral lists this ribosomal RNA (1495 nucleotides) under metagenome. RNAcentral's name for it is "bacterial SSU rRNA". It matches the Rfam family "Bacterial small subunit ribosomal RNA". The record is from RNAcentral.
AGAGUUUGAUCCUGGCUCAGGAUGAACGCUAGCGACAGGCCUAACACAUGCAAGUCGAGGGGUAACAUGGUAGCUUGCUACCGAUGACGACCGGCGCACGGGUGCGUAACGCGUAUACAACUUGCCCUUUACUGGGGGAUAGCCCGAGGAAACUCGGAUUAAUACCCCAUAGUAUUUAGCUAACACCUGUUAGCUAUCUUAAAACUCCGGUGGUAAAGGAUGGGUAUGCGUGACAUUAGAUUGUUGGUGAGGUAACGGCUCACCAAGUCGACGAUGUCUAGGGGUUCUGAGAGGAAGGUCCCCCACACUGGUACUGAGACACGGACCAGACUCCUACGGGAGGCAGCAGUGAGGAAUAUUGGUCAAUGGACGCAAGUCUGAACCAGCCAUGUCGCGUGCAGGAUGACGGCCCUACGGGUUGUAAACUGCUUUUGUACGGGAAGAAACGUAUCUACGUGUAGAUAUUUGCCGGUACCGUACGAAUAAGGAUCGGCUAACUCCGUGCCAGCAGCCGCGGUAAUACGGAGGAUCCGAGCGUUAUCCGGAUUUAUUGGGUUUAAAGGGUGCGUAGGCGGAAUAAUAAGUCAGUGGUGAAAUCCUGCAGCUUAGCUGUAGAACUGCCAUUGAUACUGUUAUUCUUGAAUUUAGUUGAGGUAGGCGGAAUGUGUUGUGUAGCGGUGAAAUGCAUAGAUAUAACACAGAACACCGAUUGCGGAGGCAGCUUACUAAGCUAUAAUUGACGCUGAGGCACGAAAGCGUGGGUAGCAAACAGGAUUAGAUACCCUGGUAGUCCACGCUGUAAACGAUGAGAACUGGAUGUCGGGAGGGUCUGCCUCUCGGUGUCGUAGCUAACGCGUUAAGUUCUCCGCCUGGGGAGUACGGCCGCAAGGUUGAAACUCAAAGGAAUUGACGGGGACCCGCACAAGCGGUGGAGCAUGUGGUUUAAUUCGAUGCAACGCGAAGAACCUUACCUGCCCUUGACAUCCUCGGAACUUGUCAGAGAUGACUUGGUGCCUUCGGGAACCGAGUGACAGGUGCUGCAUGGCUGUCGUCAGCUCGUGUCGUGAGAUGUUGGGUCAAGUCCCGCAACGAGCGCAACCCUUGUCCUUAGUUGCCAGCGGUUCGGCCGGGAACUCUAAGGAGACUGCCAGCGACAAGCUGGAGGAAGGCGGGGACGACGUCAAGUCAUCAUGGCCCUUAUGGGCAGGGCUACACACGUGCUACAAUGGCCGGUACAGAGGGCUGCUAACCCGCGAGGGGGCGCUAAUCCCAGAAAACCGGUCGUAGUCCGGAUCGGAGUCUGCAACUCGACUCCGUGAAGUCGGAAUCGCUAGUAAUCGCGAAUCAGCAAUGUCGCGGUGAAUACGUUCCCGGGUCUUGUACACACCGCCCGUCACACCAUGGGAGUUGAUUGCACCAGAAGUAGGUAGCUUAACCUUCGGGAGAGCGCUUACCACGGUGUGGUUAAUGACUGGGGUGAAGUCGUAACAAGGUA